CUUGGCUCUCCAAGCUGCCGAGAAGUCCUUCUAUGAAGUUCUGAAUGAGAAUCAGCCUUCUUCCCCUAGCAGGUCUCCAAGUCCAACGACAACUUUUGGGGGUGAAACUUUUGAUAGCCCAAUAGAUGAUUUUGCUGGAAUCUGGCCUAAUCAUGUCAUUGAUCAUGUUGUUCCUCAUCAAACCAUUCAAUACAAUUUUCAGCCAACUUGCAUUCCUGGUGACAGUUUGGAUCUUAGUGUUGAUUACCUGGUGGACACUUGUCUUAGUCCUUCCCAAACUAUACAAUCCUCCACUAACAUCAAUACACAUGUAAUGCCUCAGUUGGGAGAAGAUGUUGAAGAAUGUAGAAUUGUCAAAUUCUACCAGAAUAAAAUGCCUAGCAUACUAGCUGCUGCUGGGGAGCAAUCAUCACAUCAUCAGUCAAGAAAGAAGAGUGCUAACCAUGAUCGAGAAGGCGGUGAUCAUGAUGAAGAUCGUCCUAC
This 483-nucleotide long non-coding RNA is filed under the name Coffea arabica (coffee). RNAcentral describes it as "long non-coding RNA (CARA_LNC000136)". The record is from RNAcentral. Lineage: Eukaryota; Viridiplantae; Streptophyta; Magnoliopsida; Gentianales; Rubiaceae.